This 1299-nucleotide long non-coding RNA is filed under the name Pogona vitticeps (central bearded dragon). Its description in RNAcentral is "lncRNA (ENSPVIG00000003110.1)". Lineage: Eukaryota; Metazoa; Chordata; Lepidosauria; Squamata; Agamidae. The record is from RNAcentral.
GAAUUCUCAGCUGAGAGGUGGGGCUCUCUUCGAAUUCGUAGGCAGGGUGGAAUGAUUGGUUAGUGCUGGGAAGCUUGUCAGUUACCCCAGCCCAGAAACUACAGCCAAACAGGCAGCAUGCGGGGUUGUAAAAACUGCAACAGGUUCUUCAGCCACAGAAGAAAAGAAUGAACCAAGCAAGCAUUGCCUUCUUCCUAUAAGAGGAGCCAUGGACAAACCUGAUUGGUCGGUUGUUUCUACCUGUAGAACCAGGUAGGAGGGAUAGCCCAAUUUGUAGAAUGUCCUCCUUUGGCUACCCAAAAUGAAAAUCUCACAAUCAAUAAUAAUAUUCCUAUUUCUUUCGGGGUACUUAAAUAACCUUUUGAAUUCUAGAAUUAUUUGCUGGCAUAUGGUUAAAAAACAAUCUCCUUUUGUCCACAUUGUUGUCACCUCUAUACCAACAACAAAGCACAAGACAAUAGCACAAGGCAGUCAGCACUUAAACUAUGUAAUAGUCUUCCUCUGACAUUUGAUAAGGCCACAGUGCUUUAGCUAUAAAAGUAACUAUAAAGUUACAGUUUUACGGCAAAAGGAGUUGCCUGGUUUUAUUACAACCAGAAGUAAUUUCAUUGUACUAUUCUUACCGGGGAAAGGAAUGACUUAGGAAUAGCUAGAUAUGUUGAAGCUCUGCUAAUUCCAGAGAACAUUGUAUUGUCUCUCUUAACUUCCAUUGUUGUUUUAGAGUUCACAGACAAAUGAAUGCUAUCCUGUGUUAGUAGAAGGAUUUUUUUCCCUUCCUUCAUGUUGGAAGCGUUCAGUGUGGCUCAAUGAACACUGCUUGCAGCUGGCUAUGCUGUGGUUUCUGUUUCAACAUCAGUGCCUGCCUGACCAUAACUCUGGCUCCCACCACUUCUUCAAGGAAGCAUCCAUCAUAUGUCGAAAGCGGUGGUCAGGAACGGAAUGAGAGUAAGAAUAAGAACAAAAAGAACAAGACAGACCAGAAAUGCUGGAGAAUGCCCUCAAAGCUUCUGUUUACAUUAGAGAUGGUGAAAGCAUUUCUUCCCAAUACAUUUCCCUCCAGUUGAACUUUGUCUUCCAUUCUCACAGCCAUAGCUACUUAAAAUGAAUCAGAUCUGUGAAGGUUCAAUCUCACUGGUAUUCAGAUGCUUGCUGCAAAUACAACCUGCGCAGAAUGCAGGCAUCAUAAGGGAAUUCUCUCCAUAUAAAGCAGCAGGCAGAUGAAAUCUCCCCAUGCAUACAAUAGCUGCUAACUCCUGUUUGUUGUCUGACGUAAAUAAAAACACCUCUGGGUGGUUUUCA